This is a long non-coding RNA of Stegostoma tigrinum, 2115 nucleotides long. RefSeq lists it as uncharacterized. The record is from RefSeq and is a predicted model, not a curated record. Lineage: Eukaryota; Metazoa; Chordata; Chondrichthyes; Orectolobiformes; Stegostomatidae. The transcript is spliced from 3 exons.
CGAUGAGUCCUAGAUACAGGGGAGAAGCCUCUGCGACUUCUCACUGACUGCAAAGCUAGCUGAUUGAUAGAACGUUGCAGCUCUUUUCCCUGCAUUAAACCAAUCACCUAAGCUGGCCUGCUGUUCAAUUACAGUCUUUGAUCAAGUCUGCCUGCCCAGCUCCAUUCAUGCCCCAUUGAAGUCAGCUCACCACCAGGGUGAAAAAGGCUCCAUCACCAUUUGUAUUCUCAAUGACAACAGAGCCAGCGUAUCAAUACAAAAGACAAAGCUGAGAUAUUUGCAAGCAUCAUCAUUCAGAUGUGCCAAGUGCUAAAUGUAUAAUCCAAGAUAGUUGCUUCCUGAGAUUCCCAGCUUACCAAAUGUCGGUCAUCAGCCUAUUUAGUACAUUCCAUGUGAUACCAAGAAACAACUGAGUGUACAGUAUGCAGCAAUAGCAGGUCAAGUCUGGAUAAUCGCAAACCCAUCAAUCUAUUCUCAAUCAUCACCAUUUAUUCACCAGUAUCCUACUCAUUGAUGCUCAGUUUGAAUCCUGUUAAGUCCACUGUUCUCUAAAUCUUAUUGCAGCCUUUGCUCAAAACAUGGAUAUCAGGGCUGAAUUCUAAAGAUGAUGUGACAGCAACUGUCCUUGACAUCAAAGUAGCAUUUGACUGAAUGUGGUAUCAAGGACCCUGAACGAAACUGAAGUCAAUAAGAAUCAGGUGAAAAACUCUCCAUUGCCUCAAGUCAUAUGUAACACAAAACCUAGAUGGCAUUCAUGUGACAAGCAAACUCUGUAUUAAACAUAUGCUAGGCAAAUACUAUCUCCAACAAGUGGGAUUCAAACCACCUCAUCUUGACAUUGAACAACAUUAACAUUAAUUAAUCUUUUCAUCAUCAACAUCCUGUGGUUUAGCAUUAACCAGAAAUUUAACUGAAUCAAUCAUAUAAAUAAUGUAGCUACAUGAGCAGGUCACAGACUGCAUUCUAAUGGCAAGUAAUUCAUUUCCUUAAGUCCCCAGAGUUUGUCUGCCAUCCUUAAGGCACAAAUCAGUAGUGUGAUGGUUUGCUCCCCACUUGAUUGGAUGUGUGUGUUCCUCUAGCUCCUCUCAAAAAAAUUUGAUUGCCACCUCUUCAACUACUUUACGUCUUCACUCCAUCUACCACUGUCUACUAGAUGUACUGCUCCUUCUAGGACAGUUCUAUUAAGGCUCCUUCGCCAAUGUCUUCCAAAACUGUAAUUUCCAUUACCUGGAAUGACAAAGACAGUGGACACAUGGGAACAACAUUACCUACAGGCUUCCUUUCAAGACAACACCGCCUGGAAUUACAAAUAUUUUGACAUUCCUUUACUAUCUAUUGACCAAAGUCCUGGAACAUUCUCCCCAACAGCAUCACGGGUCUACCUACAUGAGUUGACUGGAAUGAUUUGAGAAGGUGGCUAACUACCACUUACUUCAGGGAAUAGUGAUGAGCAAUAAAUGUUGACCUUGAUAGUGAUGCCCGCAUUCCAUGAACAUUUUCUUUUUAAAACUUGCUGCAGUUCGAAGGAGGAAGAUUCCAGAUGAGUCAGUGAACGUGCAUGAAGAGAUCAAAACCAGAAAUGUCAAAGAAUGACUGCUUUGUAGUUGUCAAAUAAUUUGCCUAAUCAGAAAGUUGUUUUUAAAUUAACAAUUGCUGAGUGACCUAUUCUACAUGGUGAGAAUUUUAUCGAGCACAUACUUUCAUUUCCAAGUUAAUUCUGAACUGUUAUGCUUUGUUAAACUAAAAACAGUCAUAAUGUAGUCAGAAGCAAAACUAUUAUUUUCUUCACUUUGAUUAAGUUAGAAAUCACCUUUACCUUAAUUUUGUGUUUUAAUUAUCAGCUGCAUUUAAUAUUGUGUCUUAACCUUUAAUAUUUUUGAAAACCAUGUUUAAUGCGCAAUUACAAUUCACUAGAGUGACUCAGGCAUAUCAAAUUGAAUGUUACACAAAGAAGGUGUUCAUACAAAUCUCAGUUCACAGUUCCAUAUAACAAAGUGUUUUAAAGUGGCACAUGCUGAAAUAGAAGAGUACCAAUUUCAUGUGAAAUGGAAAGUAGAGAUCUGUGUGUCUAGGCAAGUCAGUUGACUCACAGUGAUUAAAAUCAUUUUUCAGAUA